AAAAGCAAAUAAGUACGGAACGCAGCGAAAAAUUAAAAUCGUGCGAUAAUCGUGCGAAUGGUUUUUAUGCCCAGAAUUGUUCAGAAACAAAGUCUGAUGUUUUUAAGCUGCAAAAUCCUUUAUAACUUUCACUUAACACUACGAAAAUUAUGAAAACCAACGCAAGUUUUGCCGAGUUUCUUUGUUUGAGUGAGUUUAAAACAUUGGAUUCGAGAUAUUCAAAUUAAUUUCCACUUAAAAACCUGCUAAAACAAUGCCUUCAUAUUUAAAGCUUGACUCCAGUGAAAAUCAUUUUCGCAGGAAAACAUAAAAUUUCAAAAGCAUUAGGCUUCGAGUGCUCCCCCUGUGAACUGCUAAAACAGUUUAGCACAUAAUUAUUCACAUUAAGCACCGAUAACAACUUCAUAAAUAAUAUCCAAAUAUGAAGAUCAUUCAUAUGUAAUUCCUCAAAAUCCUUAAAGCACCUAAAAAUGUAUCUAAAAGCAAAUAAUUAUGAAACACAGCGAAAAAUUAAAAUCGUGCGAUAUUUGUGCGAAUGGUUUUUAUGCCCAAAAUUGUUCAAAACCAAAAGUCUGAUGUUUUAAACUUCGAAAUCCUUUAGAACCUACACUUAACACCAUGAAAAACAACAAGAAAAUUAAAAUCAUGCGAAAAUUGUUCGAAUGUUUUUUAUGCCCAGAAUUGUUCGAAAACAAAGUAUGAUAUUUUGAGCUUCAAAAUCCUUUCUAAGUUUCUUUGUUUGAGCAAGUUUAAAACAUUGGAUUCAAGAUUUUGAAAUUCAUUUCCAUUUAAAAACCUGCUAAAACAAUGCUUUCCUAUUUUAAAGCUUCACUCCAGUGAAAAUCGUUUUCAAAGCAAAACAUAAAAUUUCAAAAAGCAUUAGGCUUCGAGUACUCCCCUGUAAACUGGUAGAAAGCACAAAACGAUAUCCAACUUCAUAAAUAAUAUCCAAAUAUGAAGAUCACUCAUAUGUAAUUCCUCAAAAUCCUUAGAGCACCUAAAAAUGUAUCUAAAAAGCAAAUAAGUAUGAAACGCAGCGAAAAAUUAAAAUCGUGCGAUAAUCGUGCGAAUGGUUUUUAUGCCCAGAAUUGUUCAGAAACAAAGUCUGAUGUUUUUAAGCUGCAAAAUCCUUUAUAACUUUCACUUAACACUACGAAAAUUAUGAAAACCAACGCAAGUUUUGCCGAGUUUCUUUGUUUGAGUGAGCUUAAAACAUUGGAUUCGAGAUAUUCAAAUUAAUUUCCACUUAAAAACCUGCUAAAACAAUGCCUUCAUAUUUUAAAGCUUGACUCCAGUGAAAAUCAUUUUCACAGGAAAACAUAAAAUUUCAAAAGCAUUAGGCUUCGAGUGCUCCCCCUGUGAACUGCUAAAACAGUUUAGCACAUAAUUAUUCACAUUAAGCACCGAUAACAACUUCAUAAAUAAUAUCCAAAUAUGAAGAUCACUCAUAUGUAAUUCCUCAAAAUCCUUAGAGCACCUAAAAAUGUAUCUAAAAAGCAAAUAAGUAUGAAACGCAGCGAAAAAUUAAAAUCGUGCGAUAAUCGUGCGAAUGGUUUUUAUGCCCAGAAUUGUUCAGAAACAAAGUCUGAUGUUUUUAAGCUGCAAAAUCCUUUAUAACUUUCACUUAACACUACGAAAAUUAUGAAAACCAACGCAAGUUUUGCCGAGUUUCUUUGUUUGAGUGAGUUUAAAACAUUGGAUUCGAGAUAUUCAAAUUAAUUUCCACUUAAAAACCUGCUAAAACAAUGCCUUCAUAUUUUAA
This 1762-nucleotide long non-coding RNA is filed under the name Durio zibethinus. RNAcentral describes it as "long non-coding RNA (DZIB_LNC001854)". Lineage: Eukaryota; Viridiplantae; Streptophyta; Magnoliopsida; Malvales; Malvaceae. The record is from RNAcentral.